Molecule: ribosomal RNA, 564 nt
Filed under: uncultured Chaetothyriales
Lineage: Eukaryota; Fungi; Ascomycota; Eurotiomycetes; Chaetothyriales
Description: eukaryotic LSU rRNA
Rfam family: 5.8S ribosomal RNA (bases 203-355)
Source: RNAcentral
GUGACCUGCGGAGGAUCAUUAAAGAGAUAGGGUCUUCACAGGCCCGACCUCCAACCCUUUGUCUACCAAACCUCAUGUUGCUUCGGCGGGUCCGUCCCUCGGACCGCCGGAGGGCAAAAGCCCUCUGGUCAGAGCCCGCCGGUGGCCAACCCACCAAAACUCUCAUCUGAAUCUUGUCUGAAUUUCUUAAAGAAUAAAUCAAAACUUUCAACAACGGAUCUCUUGGUUCUGGCAUCGAUGAAGAACGCAGCGAAAUGCGAUAAGUAAUGCGAAUUGCAGAAUCCGUGAGUCAUCGAAUCUUUGAACGCACAUUGCGCCCCUUGGUAUUCCGAGGGGCAUGCCUGUUCGAGCGUCAUUAUCACCUCUCAAGCUCCUGCUUGGUGUUGGACUACUUGGUUUGACCACAAACCGGUCUCAAAGAUAGUGACGGCGUCCUGGAAGGAGCCCGUACGAGGAGCUUUUCGUUAAGCAUGUACGCGGUAUGAUUCUCGGGGCGACGGUCUUUACCUAAACAUUUACACCAGUGUUGACCUCGGAUCAGGUAGGAAUACCCGCUGAACUUAA